This 340-nucleotide long non-coding RNA is filed under the name Cicer arietinum (chickpea). RNAcentral's name for it is "long non-coding RNA (CARI_LNC003096)". The record is from RNAcentral. Lineage: Eukaryota; Viridiplantae; Streptophyta; Magnoliopsida; Fabales; Fabaceae.
GUCUAAUCCAAACAUUAUCUACUUUCUUCAGUUUCAUCUGAUUCACAAUCGCUUCGCCGAAGAUAAGUGUAGUCUUUGCAGAUUCUUCAUUCAAAAACGAUACCUUGAAGUGCUUGAGAACCUUUGUAACCAACUGCGGAUAAGGCAACAUAAUCUUACUGUGUGAAGCUUCUAACAUGUGCCUUAGCACAAUCCACGUCCAACUCAUCUUAAGCUCCUUGGACAAUCCCCAUAACAGUAUAAUAUCAAGCUUCUGAACAACCGCGUGAUUUCCUGAUCGAGGUACAAGCAUUCUUGUUAAUGUAUACAUGAGCAUGCGUUGCUGUACCUUCAUCUGACC